This 311-nucleotide ribosomal RNA is filed under the name uncultured Alphaproteobacteria bacterium. RNAcentral describes it as "bacterial SSU rRNA". It matches the Rfam family "Bacterial small subunit ribosomal RNA", at positions 1 to 342 of the family's 1533-position model. Lineage: Bacteria; Pseudomonadati; Pseudomonadota; Alphaproteobacteria. The record is from RNAcentral.
UAGUGAGUUUGAUCCUGGCUCAUAACGAACGCUGGCGGCAGGCCUAACACAUGCAAGUCGAACGGGAUCUUCGGAUCUAGUGGCGGACGGGUGAGUAACGCGUGGGAACGUGCCCUUUGGUUCGGAAUAGCCCUGGGGAAAACUGGGAGUAAUACCGGAUGUGCCCUUCGGGGGAAAGAUUUAUCGCCAAAGGAUCGGCCCGCGUUGGAUUAGGUAGUUGGUGGGUAAUGGCCUACCAAGCCGACGAUCCAUAGCUGGUUUGAGAGGAUGAUCAGCCACACUGGGGACUGAGACCAGGCCCAGACUCCUAC